Long non-coding RNA from Astatotilapia calliptera (eastern happy), 1381 nucleotides. The record is from Ensembl. Lineage: Eukaryota; Metazoa; Chordata; Actinopteri; Cichliformes; Cichlidae.
CGGGAAGAGGACGCGCGUGCUGAAUGGAAUGGUGGCCCGGUGGUUUGUGACCAUCGGCGCGGUGCUGAUGCUGAUGAUGCAGAGCUCCCUGGCCGCUGACGCUGAGGGAGGUCAUCAUGAGUCAAUGAGGCAGGCUGACUUGCUUCUGGACCCCGCAGUGACUUCCAACCUCUCGGCCACCCCUGGGAUUGGAGACAAAGCUGGGGCUAACAACAAGGAUACAAUGGAUGGGCCUCACACUGGUCCUGAUGCUGGGUCUGAAGCUUGGCCUGAGGCAAAAGUGUUUGCUGAAGCCAGAACAGCAGUUUGGACAGAAACAGAAGCAGGAGUGCGUGCUGAAGCAGGUGGCAAAGUCUUUACCGAGACUGGGAUUAUGACAGGAACUGGUGCUUGGGCUGAAGUCGGAGCAGAAUGGAGGCCCGUAGACACAGAAGGGGAAGACCUGCCGAGCAUGCCUGGGGACACAGCUCCCUGGCUGGGGCAGCGGAGGCUACAGACAGAUGGAGAGGAAAGAAGAGAGCAGGCAGCUUUCUCAUCUGUCCUAACCAUGCUGGCAGAGACAGCAGAGCUGCAGGCUCCAGUGGUUGGAAAACCUUUAGGGCUGCUGUCUAAAGCUGCUUGGACCAAAAGCUCCUCUUCAUCAUCGGCCAAAGCCACCUCCUCCUCUACGACAAAAGCAUCCUCUUUGCCUUCUUCCUCCACAUCCUCCUCCUCUCCAGCUAGUACACUACAAGACAGUCACACAGCAGGAUCACAGAAUAUAUCUGUGCUUGUUGUCAACACUAACUACUCCAACAGCAACAGUAGCCCCACCAUUGAGGACUCAGUGAGCAGCCUGCCGGCCUGGGAUCUCCCUACAGUUCCCGAAUCACUCCUGUCCACAGUGGGUGACCAUGAUGUCACACUUCCUGCCAAUGUCACCAGCCCUUUCUCCACCCACCAGUGGAACACCACUGCACCUGUGCGCACCAGAAACGCCUCACGGCGUCCGACCACCACAACAACCACCACCACCAUAAAGAUGCCUCUGUCUCCCACUACCAGCUCAACUUUACCAUUCCCCACAACUGCAAGAGCACAAACACCACCAGAAUCCAGCACGGCUACACACAUCACAAGCCAGGACACUGUGACCAAUGACAGUCUUCAGCUGACAACAGUAACUACAACAACACCCUUAACGACCACUCUUACUGUGACCACCGAUGAUAUGAUGAAUCAGGCAGCAACCACUGGGAACAAUGCAACGUUAUCGCCAAAUACCAGUGCUGCAACCACUACGCAGCAAACAACAAGCAUCAGACUUACCACAACAACUCAACCUGCAACCACUACAACAACCACACCUGCCCCGACUACUGCUUCUACUACUACUCUUCCC